This 447-nucleotide ribosomal RNA is filed under the name Triticum aestivum (bread wheat). RNAcentral describes it as "partial small subunit ribosomal RNA". Lineage: Eukaryota; Viridiplantae; Streptophyta; Magnoliopsida; Poales; Poaceae. The record is from RNAcentral.
AUGGAUUUCCCCCCUGAGCAGUUCAGGGCCACGGUGGGUGGGUGCGUUUCAAUGCCGCCGCAGGCAGACGACAACUUCGCUACUUCUGGGUCCAGCAUCGUCGAGGCAUUUUUCCCGGAAACCCGCUCGCGAUGGACCUCGCCUCCGACUAGUUCGAAGCCAAUGCGGGUGCACAAGCUGAAGGCCGUGCGGAGGAGCUCGAGGUGCGAGUGCGGCUGUCAGCCAUGGCUUGCAUGCUUCAGCUGCGUCGGGACCACUCUUUCAGUCUUUUUCUCUCUCUCUGCUCACUUCUUCAUCGAAGCGCCCGACUCUUCUGCAGGCUACACUGACACAUUUGAGGCAUUAGCUUUUGAUUCAAACUGGCAUCCGAGCCUAGCUGGCCUCCGAGGCAGCAUUUUUGGGGCUAACCAUUGGCCAUGCCCUUUGGGGUGGCGGCAUGUGUGGUAG